UGGGGAAUUUUGGACGAUGGGCGCAAGCCUGAUCCAGCCAUGCCGCGUGAGUGAAGAAGGCCUUCGGGUUGUAAAGCUCUUUCGGCUGGGAAGAAAUCGCACUCUCUAAUACAGGGUGUGGAUGACGGUACCAGCAUAAGAAGCACCGGCUAACUACGUGCCAGCAGCCGCGGUAAUACGUAGGGUGCGAGCGUUAUUCGGAAUUACUGGGCGUAAAGCGUGCGCAGGCGGUUGUGUAAGACAGACGUGAAAUCCCCGGGCUCAACCUGGGAACUGCAUCCAAAACUACUGAGCUAGAGUACGGUAGAGGGUGGUGGAAUUUCCUGUGUAGCGGUGAAAUGCUUAGAUAUGACACAGAACACCGAUCGCGAAGGCAGCUAGCUAAGCUAUAACUGACGCUCAUGCACGAAAGCGUGGGGAUCAAACAGGAUUAGAUACCCU
Molecule: ribosomal RNA, 441 nt
Filed under: uncultured Dechloromonas sp.
Lineage: Bacteria; Pseudomonadati; Pseudomonadota; Betaproteobacteria; Rhodocyclales; Azonexaceae
Description: bacterial SSU rRNA
Rfam family: Bacterial small subunit ribosomal RNA
Source: RNAcentral